This 289-nucleotide ribosomal RNA is filed under the name Salmonella enterica subsp. enterica serovar Senftenberg. RNAcentral describes it as "partial 16S ribosomal RNA". It matches the Rfam family "Bacterial small subunit ribosomal RNA", at positions 1 to 286 of the family's 1533-position model. RNAcentral also lists the same sequence under 5 other names. The record is from RNAcentral. Lineage: Bacteria; Pseudomonadati; Pseudomonadota; Gammaproteobacteria; Enterobacterales; Enterobacteriaceae.
AAAUUGAAGAGUUUGAUCAUGGCUCAGAUUGAACGCUGGCGGCAGGCCUAACACAUGCAAGUCGAACGGUAACAGGAAGCAGCUUGCUGCUUUGCUGACGAGUGGCGGACGGGUGAGUAAUGUCUGGGAAACUGCCUGAUGGAGGGGGAUAACUACUGGAAACGGUGGCUAAUACCGCAUAACGUCGCAAGACCAAAGAGGGGGACCUUCGGGCCUCUUGCCAUCAGAUGUGCCCAGAUGGGAUUAGCUUGUUGGUGAGGUAACGGCUCACCAAGGCGACGAUCCCUAG